Molecule: transfer RNA, 73 nt
Filed under: Diabrotica virgifera virgifera (western corn rootworm)
Lineage: Eukaryota; Metazoa; Arthropoda; Insecta; Coleoptera; Chrysomelidae
Description: transfer RNA threonine (anticodon AGU)
Rfam family: tRNA
About the family: Transfer RNA (tRNA) molecules are approximately 80 nucleotides in length. Their secondary structure includes four short double-helical elements and three loops (D, anti-codon, and T loops).
Source: RNAcentral
CCUUGGAUAGCUCAGUUGGUAGAGCGGUGGACUAGUUAUCCAUAGGUCGCUGGUUCAAAUCCGGUUUGAAGGA